Molecule: non-coding RNA, 73 nt
Organism: Podarcis lilfordi (Lilford's wall lizard)
Lineage: Eukaryota; Metazoa; Chordata; Lepidosauria; Squamata; Lacertidae
Source: the annotation of a GenBank genome assembly
GGGGCCGUAGCUCAGCAGGAGAGCAUUUUGCUUUGCAAGCAGGAGGUCGCAGGUUCAAUCCCUGGCGCCUCCA